Mercenaria mercenaria is the source of this 4203-nucleotide long non-coding RNA. RefSeq lists it as uncharacterized. NCBI's taxonomy places the organism in Eukaryota, Metazoa, Mollusca, Bivalvia, Venerida, Veneridae. The record is from RefSeq and is a predicted model, not a curated record. The transcript is spliced from 2 exons.
GUUUUACUGUAUCAGUAACUAACGCCGAAUGCGCUGCCCCCAACAUUGUUCGUACUCGUUUCUUCCCUUGUUUACUCCCCUUUUAGAACUCUGCGUCAAUUCAGAUUUUGUAGACAACCGUGAAUGUUAAAGAAUCACGUGUUUACCUGUGCGAUUCUUUGUUUUUUAGGUAUCAUAUUUAUGAUUUUGGUAAGUAUCAGUUAGUAUGUUUUUAUCUAAUUUCUCGAAAAAUGUAUAUAAACAGCUUGUCGGUCUCGGUCACAAACAAUCCCGCGGGCUUCUGCAGACGUUAAUACACAAAAAAACGUGUAUUAUCCCUACAUUAGAAGGCGCAUAGUCUUUGCAAAUCUCAAAUUUAGAUAUUGUCCUGAUUGCUUCUCUGAAUUGCCCUCAUAGAAUUCCGGUACAUACAAACUACCUUUUGUCGGAUUUAUAGAUACAGUAGAAACAAGAUAAGCUUACGAGGGCUCUUCAAUUAUAACGUAGACUUUUUCUCUAGCUUUUAUAUACUUCAAUGAAGCCAAACAAGAUAUAUAUCAUAUUCAUUUGCUAUCUUUCUACUAACUGCACUGCAAAUUUGACUUGAUUAUGACCAUGCAUUCAGGGGUUACGCCUCCUCGAAAACAGUCACUUACAUGGACCCGGCGCACGGCAAUAUAUUUCAACGACGUUAACGACGUCGUGCCUUCAUUGUGAUGCUUUCAUUAAGUUUGCAUUAAUUCAUUUUUGUAAAUUUAUUUCAUAAAUUUUCAUGAGCAAUAAUUAAGUCAUAAAAAGUUGUUUGAUUAGAAUACUAAAAAUGUGUGAACACUUAUGACACGCAUCUCUUACAGGGUACUCAACAUGAGUACUUGGUCUUUAUCUACGGCGUCAUAUAUUGGCGUUAACGUCCAUUCGCAGUUUUUCCUUUUUCUCUCUCCAUCUAAGCUGUCUUUAAGCUAUUCUUGACUAUUUGAGAACCGAUUGUACCACUUGAAGAGAAAGACAUAGAUGAAUGGACAUUUUUGUGGCGUCUACUUUAUUAGUUUAUGAAUUUCAGUUGUUGUGCACCAACAUUUCUCCAUAACUAAACACCUGUCUUAUUAUCUAUGCGAGUCAGUGACGACAUAACAUGCAUUAUAUACAGUAACACUCACUUAGUUUAAACGUUGUUUUCUUCCGCCUCCCACGUCAGAAUGACUCCAUACUCUAGGUGCAUGUCGACCUGGCGUGUUGCUGCACUUUGGCAUAUUUCUGGGCAAAUAAGUUUACUAUUAGUGCGAACAUAAGCGAUCGAAUUCUAAUCACGACAGAUCAAAAAGCGACUGCGCCGGUUAUGCGUAGCUAUGGUAAUAAAAACGUUCGACGAGCUGCGCCUAUCAGCAAAAAUGUUACAAAAAAUGUAUGACCAAAUUACAGAAAGAUUCCGAAUUACAACGACAUAUUUUACAUUAUUAUUUUCACAAUAUGAAACACUUGACAGCAAAAGUCUACGUUAUUUUUAACAGCCCUAGUACUCUUGGCAUUUUCUGUUAGAUUGAGAUUUGCAAUGGGAAAUGACCAUUUAAUGGAAUGUGUGAAUAUAAUUUGUCCGGUUUAUGUCUAAUUCAUUAUUACCGAGUCUUGUUAAACAUUGAUAAAUAUACGAUGAGACGCGACAGAAUUUUCCGACAUUAUCAUCACGUGGGCAGAAAACAAAAACUGUGCAUGUGCAUAUUUUGCUCCCUUCACUAAUAAUCAAUAGAGCGCACAAGGGUAGGUAUUGCAAAGUACUAUGUUGCUUGAAAUGUAAUAAAAAGAUUACAAGAAAUAGGUCAUUACACUACGUUUACGAUGCAGUGAGUAAUUUAAUGCCGUAACCGCUCGGGCAACGAGGAAUCACUGACUGCAUUGUAAACGUAGUGUAUUGACUUAAUUCCAUGUUGCUGAUUUAUGCUGUUUUUAAUUACAUUUCAAAACGAUAUGAUACUGUGAGAUACAUAUACAAUUUGUACUUGUGCGCUUGUGUAAUGUAAUGACUUCGUUUCAUGUUAUUGUUUUGUUUGUUUACAUUUCAAAACGCUAUGAUACUGUGCACUAUGAUGUUAUUUUCUCUCUCUGUCACGUGAUGUUUGUAAGAUGCCCAGUGAACGGAGUUCCUUUAUUUUAUAACCCGGGGAAACCUUAUCAGAAAUCGUGGAUAAAUGCUUUUAUUUAGAGUUUAUUAAGAAAACAACAAUGUUCAACAAAAUUCGGUGAAAAUCCAUUGUUAGAACAUCAAAUAUGCGACAUAAAGAUGAAUAUAGGAACUUUGAACUUUUAAAAUCUCACACUAGGAUGUUUGGGUUAGUUAAAAGUACAAUUACAAGAGACAAUACAAAAUUUGCUAUUUUUAAAAACGAUCCGACUGGUAGUCGUAAGAUAUUCUUCUUUUCUUUAACUCGUCUUAGUUAAUAAAAAUGUAAAAUAAAAUUGAGUUACAACAAACAAUUACUUCACAUGAGUGUAUUUAAUUGUAGUUAAAGGCAGCCAGAAAUAACCUUUACCAUUCUUCUGACAACGCGGUUAGUGACGAAGAUGUACAGAAGUACUUCAAACGUAUGAAACGGCUUCUCGAAGAGGCAUCAAACGACAACGAUGUUGAUCAGACGAUAAGAGAUGCUAUUGUCGCGGAUAUUAAAAAACUCGAAAAGUUACAGGGAGGCGAAAUGACAAUGGCCUUGUUUGAUGAUGCUUUAAAAUUGAAACGAAAGGCAAUAUAUUAUGACUUUGAAAAGAGCUUAUGUGAGAACGACCCAGACACCCUGAAAGAAUUACUUGAGCUUGCUGAACAGACUGUAGAAGACAUACAGGAAAUAAAGAAACAUGCACAUGAAGUGAAAUAUAUUGAGAGAUAUAAAUCAGUGCUGGACAACUGCAGAACAGAAACAAAAAAAAUUGACAAAUGAACUAACUGAACUGAAGAAAGGAAUACGAAUGAUUCCAGUUCUCCGUGAUGAAAUGGAAACACUUAAGGAAAAGGUAGGUGACUGGCAGCGUGCCCUUAGAUAUAACAUUUCUCAGCUCGAAGUGGAUGGAAUAUUCAUAGUGGUUGUUGUUACUGUUUUUAUGUCAUUGCUCCUCAGAGUCUGUGUUUAUUUUGCGUGACUGGAAGACGAUCAAUUGUUAAAACGCAAAUAAAAAAGGAAUGAACUUAAAACUUAUACUUAAUUAAUUGCUCCUGACCAGUGAAUUUACUGACAGCAGCGGUAUUGGAAAUGAUUCCAUUUAACUUAGACUAUUUUAUAUGUGGAAAGAAAUUGUUAGAUAAAAAAAGGAUAAUACAUGAGUUUUGUUUUCAUAUUGAAUGUAUUAAACGAGUUAAAUAAAAUGAUAAAAUGCGAGGCUCUGUCGAGCAUUCUAUCAAUUUUAUUCAACCAGUUAAAAAAAUUCAAUGUGGAAAGUCACAAAUAUGAUAUUCUUUUUAUCACAUGUUAACUUUUCCAGUCGAAACAUCAAAAAAAUCUUCUUUUUUUUACUAUAUAAACAAGUUGAUUCGACCAAUGUCUCUUUAAGAAAUAAUAUAUCUCAUCCAGUGAUUUGUCGUUGAAUAAAUCAUUGUUUGGAGUUCAGAUGCGAAGGAAUUAUAUCACGAGGGCGCAGCCCGAGUUAUAUGAUAAUACGCAUCUGAACGACAAACAAUGAUUUAUUCAAGAGCAAAUCACUAAAUGAGAUAUAUUAUUUCGAUUCUAACACGUUACCAAGGAUUUUUAAGUACAUCCUUGACGACAUUCAUUGAAUAUUUGCCCGUUUUCAAUCGGUUUCUUUUCCAGCGCGCCGCUAUGCCGUUUGACGCCAUGACGUAAUAAUUGUGAUGUCAGAACAGUGAUUUGUUGUAUAAUAAUUCACUGCUUUCUGCCUUCUUUGUUAAAUAGAAAAUGAAUCGGAUCGUGUUAGAAUAUAGCAUAAACGACGUCGACGUCAAAGAUUUAUUACUCUUAGACUAGUGUAUUAUCAUUUUUAUGUAAUGGCUUUAUUACACGACAGCGACGUUAAACAUGUGAUAAAUAGUAAUUCGUAUCUGCUUUUUUAUACUGAAUCUGAUCUUGACUUUUUAAUGAUAAUUAUCUUCACAAUAGCGGGAUGAUAACAUUUGCAUUUAGUUAUACAUUGUUUAUAUUAAUGUUGAUAUCUAUGAAUAUAUUUGCAUAUCAAUGAUACCUUGUAGAAACAAGGAAAAACAAAAAUAUGAAAUAGAAGUCAUCA